UACGUAGGGGGCAAGCGUUGUCCGGAAUCAUUGGGCGUAAAGAGCGUGUAGGCGGCCCGGUAAGUCCGCUGUGAAAGUCCAGGGCUCAACCCUGGGAUGCCGGUGGAUACUGUCGGGCUUGAGUACGGAAGAGGCGAGUGGAAUUCCUGGUGUAGCGGUGAAAUGCGCAGAUAUCAGGAGGAACACCAAUUGCGAAGGCAGCUCGCUGGGACGUUACUGACGCUGACAGCGCGAAAGCCAGGGGAGCAAACGGG
This 254-nucleotide ribosomal RNA is filed under the name uncultured bacterium. RNAcentral describes it as "partial 16S ribosomal RNA". It matches the Rfam family "Bacterial small subunit ribosomal RNA", at positions 524 to 776 of the family's 1533-position model. The record is from RNAcentral.